Lagopus leucura (white-tailed ptarmigan) is the source of this 2371-nucleotide long non-coding RNA. RefSeq lists it as uncharacterized. The transcript has 6 exons. NCBI's taxonomy places the organism in Eukaryota, Metazoa, Chordata, Aves, Galliformes, Phasianidae. The record is from RefSeq and is a predicted model, not a curated record.
CACCAAAUCCUGAAAUAUUUUCAUGAUGGUCUUUAAUUGCAAAGCAAGCAGGUGACACACAUUUCUCACUGGGGAGCCAUAAGCUGACCCUGGCAGUUUGGCCAACAGCACUUGCUCCAUUCACACCGGUAAUCUCAACCCUUUGCUGUCCAGGCUGCACACACAGCUUCUCUACAUCUUGCUGUGUUUUGAAAUCUGUGCUCCCCUACCUAUUAGAAACAUCACCAAUUGUCUCUGAGGACAGAUUGGGAUCAAAAUACGUGGGCAUAUACAUACGUACGUCAUAGCUCAUCCACUGAUAAACCUCCCAUUGCUGGACAGGCAGACCCAAUUACCUGCCAGUCAUUACUUUUUAUUUAUUUAUUUUUCGUUCUUCAUACAGGAACUGUGAGGUCACAGUCUGAAGUAGUGAUUAAGCACCUGGUGAGGGGUGUAGCCCUGCGAGCACAGGUGGAAGCAAUUCUCCUAUGGGACCAGAUAGGGCUGAGCCUGGCUCCACCCCUCCCUGAUCGCAUUUAAGGGCUGGCAGCCAUAGAGGUAGCAUCUCUUUGUGGAGACUGCCUUCUUGGAAGCCUUGGGUGAGCCUUUGGAGUAUGGUAAGUGAUUCCUUCUAUGUUUCAAGGCUGUGGGCUUCUCUUUUUGUUAGAUCUUGCCCAUAUAGCCGUCAGCCCUUCAGCGUGGUCAGGAUCUGUAUCUGCAGGCUGUCUCUUUUGGGGUGUGGGAUGUGUUUCCUUCUUUAUUGCAGGGCCAUUAUCUCUCCUUUUUGGGGUAUCCUGAUCACUUUUAAGGGUUGGCAGCUGUAAGGGUAGUAGGGAGUGCUUCCUUUGGAGUGUGGGGUGAGCCCUUGGAGUGGGAUGGGUGGUUCCUUUUUUAUUUCAGGGCUGUGAUCCCUCCAUUUUUUGGGGGAUCCCGACAGCAUUUAAAGGUUUGUAGCUGUAAGGGUGUUUUCUUUUCCUGGAGGCUGCCUCUUUGGGUGUGUGGGGUGAAUAUUUCCUUUGUUAUUUUGAUGUGAGCUCUGUGUUUUUUGGGGGAUCCUGACCACGUUUAAGGGCUGGUAGCUGUAAGGGUAGGGUCUCUGUCUAGAGAUUGCUUCCUUUAGAGUGUGGGGUGAGUGUUUGUCUUUGGAAUGGGGCAGUUGAUUUCCUCUUUGUUGUAGGGUUAUGAACUCCCCAUUUUUUAGAGGAUCCUGACCACGUUUAAGGGCUGGCAGCUGUAAAGGCAUCAUCUGUACCUGGAGACUGCUUCCUUUGGGAUGUGGAGCAAGCACUUGGAGUGGGCUCGAUGGGGUUUAAGGAUUGCCAGGGCUCCUCUAAUCAGUGGUGUGAGAACUGCAGAGCAGGGUCUUCUCCUGACUGCUUCAACUUCGGAAAUACCAUUGAGAGUGGCUCAGUGACUGCAGUGGUGAAUUCCCUCAGAACUCUGGGACUCAUCUCGUCAGGACCCAAAGACUCCUGGAUGUUCGGGCCCUCAGGUGGCAGCAGAGCUGUGGUGCUCCCGAGUGCUGUAACGACUGCACAGAGAUGUGUGGGUCUUCAUGGGAACAGCAAGGAACUGGAAUCUGCAUCUCUUCGAAUGCCUCAGAACCUCGCUUUGCUGGCUGGUAAUUGUCUGCCCAGCAGGUGGCAGCAGAGCUGCGGUGCUCCUGAGUACCGUAACGACUGCAUGGAGAUGUGUGGGUCUUCACGGGAACAGCAAGGAACUGGAAUCUGCAUCUCUUCAAAUGCCCCGGAACCUCGCUUUGCUGGCUGGUAAUUGUCUGCCCAGCAGGUGGCAGCAGAGCUGCGGUGCUCCUGAGCGCUUUAAGGACAGCAUGGAGAUGCAUGGCUCUUCACAGUGACAGCAAGGAACUGGAAUCUGCAUCUCUUCAAAUGCCCCGGAACCCCGCUUUGCUGGCUGGUAAUUGUCUGCCCAGCAGGUAAGGGCAAUGCACACCCACCAGUGUUUACUCAUUACUUAAUGAGGCACAAGGUAGGGUUCCCAGAGCUCAUUUAUGUACUUCAUGGUGCCCAGAAGGCUGCCUGUCCUGUUCUUUCUGUGUUCUCCUUGCCUCCGGUCUUUCACUGAAGCAUUCUCCUUGCCCUUGGCUUUUCUUGCUGUGUUCUCUUGCCCUCCUGUUUUGGCGUUCCCUGUGGCAUUCUCUUGGCCAUUUGCCCUCGGCCACCUUCGCUGCGUUCUCUUUGGCCUUCGGUUCUGGCCAUCUGUGCCACAUUCUCUUGGCCUUUGUCCUUGACCUUCUUUGCCACAUUCACUUUGCCUCCCAUUCUGGCAUUCCCUACAACAUUCUCUUUGGCCUUCAGUUCUGGCGUUCGUGGCUGCGUUCUCUUUGGCCAUUGCUGUCGGCCUUCUUUGCCCCAUUGUCUUUGGUCUUCAG